GGAGUUGGUAUCUCAGUUGUAGAGUGCAUGCUCUGUGUGUAUGAUGUUCUUGGUUCAAUCCCCAGCUUCUCCC
Molecule: non-coding RNA, 73 nt
Organism: Dallia pectoralis (Alaska blackfish)
Lineage: Eukaryota; Metazoa; Chordata; Actinopteri; Esociformes; Umbridae
Source: the annotation of a GenBank genome assembly